RNAcentral lists this ribosomal RNA (507 nucleotides) under uncultured Glomeromycotina. Its description in RNAcentral is "SSU rRNA". It matches the Rfam family "Eukaryotic small subunit ribosomal RNA", at positions 569 to 1077 of the family's 1831-position model. The record is from RNAcentral. Lineage: Eukaryota; Fungi; Glomeromycota.
AGCAGCCGCGGUAAUUCCAGCUCCAAUAGCGUAUAUUAAAGUUGUUGCAGUUAAAAAGCUCGUAGUUGAAUUUCGGGGUUAGUAGGUUGGUCAUGCCUCUGGUAUGUACUGGUCUCACUGAUUCCUCCUUCCUGAUGAGCCGUAAUGCCAUUAAUUUGGUGUUGCGGGGAAUUUGGACUGUUACUUUGAAAAAAUUAGAGUGUUUAAAGCAGGCUAACGCUUGAAUACAUUAGCAUGGAAUAAUGAAAUAGGACGUUCGAUCCUAUUUUGUUGGUUUCUAGGAUUGACGUAAUGAUUAAUAGGGAUAGUUGGGGGCAUUAGUAUUCAAUUGUCAGAGGUGAAAUUCUUGGAUUUAUUGAAGACUAACUACUGCGAAAGCAUUUGCCAAGGAUGUUUUCAUUAAUCAAGAACGAAAGUUAGGGGAUCGAAGACGAUCAGAUACCGUCGUAGUCUUAACCAUAAACUAUGCCGACUAGGGAUCGGAUGAUGUUAAUUUUUUAAUGACUC